Molecule: ribosomal RNA, 336 nt
Filed under: uncultured Bacillota bacterium
Lineage: Bacteria; Bacillati; Bacillota
Description: bacterial SSU rRNA
Rfam family: Bacterial small subunit ribosomal RNA
Source: RNAcentral
GACGAACGCUGGCGGCGUGCCUAACACAUGCAAGUCGAACGGAGUUUCCAUUUAUGGAUUCUUAGUGGCGAACGGGUGAGUAACGCGUAGACAACCUACCUCUUAGAUGGGGACAACACUGCGAAAGUGGUGCUAAUACCGAAUGUUGUAUCGAGAAUGCAUAUUCUUGCUACUAAAGAUGGCCUCUAUUUAUAAGCUAUCACUAAGAGAUGGGUCUGCGUCUGAUUAGCUAGUUGGUGAGGUAAUGGCUCACCAAGGCGACGAUCAGUAGCCGGUCUGAGAGGAUGAACGGCCACACUGGGACUGAGACACGGCCCAGACUCCUACGGGAGGCAG